UCUACCGCAGCUACUGUAUGAUGUCAUAGCAAUGACGUCACACUCAAGCCAAUCAGCCUUGAGGAGGAUAGACUCGUCGGACUGUAGCGGUUGUAAACAACUUGUCGCCCCGUGUGUCUGCCCGUGGCGCUAGUUAUCUGUCGGAGUUACCACUGACAAUGCCCAAAACAAGAACAACAAAGGCCCAAAGGUGGCUGUUUGGUAGUGCGCAAAGCUGCUGGUGGUGGUGGACGUCUCUGCCCUGACGCGCGGCGUGCGUCUGCUCAGUGUGGAGGUGCCGCUGACAGCGGUGCCGGCCGGACCGGCUGCCUCUCCGGCGGCCGACAUUGAGCGCGGCACGUGUCCGCCGCCGUUCGGGCCGCUGCAGCUGCUGCAGUCGGCGGCGCAGCUGUCCGUCUCCGUGUCGCUGGCCGUGCCGCUGGACCUGCUGCCGCGGCCGGCGCCGGCGCGCUGCGCCUACGGCCGCCUGCUGGCCGUGAGCCGUCGUCUCGCAGCGCGGCCUGCAGCGCAGCGGCGUGCCGCAGCUCAUCCAGCAGCUCAACGAGCCGCCCAGCCCGGCGGCGGCCGAGGGCGCCGCGCCGCGCCGGCCCGGCGACGUCAGCACACCUGGCAUCAGCGGCUUCUGCCUGGCCGACCGUCAGCUGCACCUGCUGUUCGCCGAGGGGCGCGCCGACGCCGAGCUGGAACAGACGGCGGCCGCGCCGCGCGCUCUGCCGCGCCGCGACGCUCGACUCUGCCACCACUCGGGCUUGCUGUUUAGGGAGCGCCUGUACCCGCGCCAGCCGGCCGUGUUCCGCGUGCUCGAGGACCGCCCGCUACGCGCCCAGCUGCUCGACACCCGCCUCUACACGUUACAGAAACAGGAGCCGGCGCGCGCCGUCCGCGCCAUCAGAGAGUGCUUCCGCACGCAGUGGCUGUCGGAAAAUGAACCUGCUUCCCAACGAGGCCGGCCUGCAACAACUGCUGGCCGGCUGUUGGCC
Amphibalanus amphitrite is the source of this 980-nucleotide long non-coding RNA. RefSeq lists it as uncharacterized. The transcript has 3 exons. The record is from RefSeq and is a predicted model, not a curated record. NCBI's taxonomy places the organism in Eukaryota, Metazoa, Arthropoda, Thecostraca, Balanomorpha, Balanidae.